GUAUUCUUCUGGGUUCUGAAUUGCACCAGCAAGAACUGGACUUUCAGGGUGAUAAUGUUGGAAUUUACUACUCUGAUACAAACCCUAGAGUUUUUAACCCAGGAGACCUACAGGCACUCGGCAAUGAAACGCAGCAAUUGGUGGGUGGAGCUGGGAAUUCUACUCCUUUGGCAUCAGAUAUUUCAAGUUUGGAAGAUUCAACCUUCAAAGUCGGCAAACUCUCAGUUGAGCAAAGGAAGGAGAAGAUCCAUAGGUACAUGAAGAAAAGGAAUGAAAGGAAUUUCAGCAAGAAAAUCAAGUAUGCCUGUCGCAAAACACUGGCAGACAGCAGGCCUCGAGUCAGAGGAAGGUUUGCAAAAAAUGAUGACUUUGGAGAGACCAACAGGGCAGCUUGUAGCAAUCAUGAAGAGGACGACGAAGACGAAAUAGUGGUGAAAGAAGAAGAGGACAUGGUUGAUUCCUCAGAUAUCUUAGCUCAUAUCAGUGGUGUAAACUCCUUCAAAUGCAACUAUUCCAUCCAGUCCUGGAUUUGAUUAGCUUUGAAGUAUUAAAAAUCUCUACAAUUUUGGAGAUGACUCCAUUUCAACCAGGAUUAUUAUAUCUAUCCAGGUUUAAUAAAAGAAAAUAGAAUAAUGUGGGUCG
This 642-nucleotide unclassified non-coding RNA is filed under the name Hevea brasiliensis (rubber tree). Lineage: Eukaryota; Viridiplantae; Streptophyta; Magnoliopsida; Malpighiales; Euphorbiaceae. The record is from RNAcentral.